UUGAAUUGAAGAGUUUGAUCAUGGCUCAGAUUGAACGCUGGCGGCAGGCUUAACACAUGCAAGUCGAACGGUAGCAGGAGAAAGCUUGCUUUCUUGCUGACGAGUGGCGGACGGGUGAGUAAUGCUUGGGAAUCUGGCUUAUGGAGGGGGAUAACGACGGGAAACUGUCGCUAAUACCGCGUAUUAUCGGAAGAUGAAAGUGCGGGACUGAGAGGCCGCAUGCCAUAGGAUGAGCCCAAGUGGGAUUAGGUAGUUGGUGGGGUAAAGGCCUACCAAGCCUGCGAUCUCUAGCUGGUCUGAGAGGAUGACCAGCCACACUGGAACUGAGACACGGUCCAGACUCCUACGGGAGGCAGCAGUGGGGAAUAUUGCGCAAUGGGGGGAACCCUGACGCAGCCAUGCCGCGUGAAUGAAGAAGGCCUUAGGGUUGUAAAGUUCUUUCGGUAUUGAGGAAGGUUGAUGUGUUAAUAGCACAUCAAAUUGACGUUAAAUACAGAAGAAGCACCGGCUAACUCCGUGCCAGCAGCCGCGGUAAUACGGAGGGUGCGAGCGUUAAUCGGAAUAACUGGGCGUAAAGGGCACGCAGGCGGUUAUUUAAGUGAGGUGUGAAAGCCCCGGGCUUAACCUGGGAAUUGCAUUUCAGACUGGGUAACUAGAGUACUUUAGGGAGGGGUAGAAUUCCACGUGUAGCGGUGAAAUGCGUAGAGAUGUGGAGGAAUACCGAAGGCGAAGGCAGCCCCUUGGGAAUGUACUGACGCUCAUGUGCGAAAGCGUGGGGAGCAAACAGGAUUAGAUACCCUGGUAGUCCACGCUGUAAACGCUGUCGAUUUGGGGGUUGGGGUUUAACUCUGGCGCCCGUAGCUAACGUGAUAAAUCGACCGCCUGGGGAGUACGGCCGCAAGGUUAAAACUCAAAUGAAUUGACGGGGGCCCGCACAAGCGGUGGAGCAUGUGGUUUAAUUCGAUGCAACGCGAAGAACCUUACCUACUCUUGACAUCCUAAGAAGAGCUCAGAGAUGAGCUUGUGCCUUCGGGAACUUAGAGACAGGUGCUGCAUGGCUGUCGUCAGCUCGUGUUGUGAAAUGUUGGGUUAAGUCCCGCAACGAGCGCAACCCUUAUCCUUUGUUGCCAGCGAUUUGGUCGGGAACUCAAAGGAGACUGCCAGUGA
This 1167-nucleotide ribosomal RNA is filed under the name Haemophilus influenzae. RNAcentral's name for it is "bacterial SSU rRNA". It matches the Rfam family "Bacterial small subunit ribosomal RNA", at positions 1 to 1158 of the family's 1533-position model. The record is from RNAcentral. Lineage: Bacteria; Pseudomonadati; Pseudomonadota; Gammaproteobacteria; Pasteurellales; Pasteurellaceae.